Molecule: non-coding RNA, 121 nt
Organism: Triticum aestivum (bread wheat)
Lineage: Eukaryota; Viridiplantae; Streptophyta; Magnoliopsida; Poales; Poaceae
Source: Rfam
AACAUACUCCGUUUGUUCCAAAUUACUUGUCUUGGAUUUGUCUAGAUACGGAUGUAUCUAGCAGAUACAUCCGUAUCUAGACAAAUCCAAGACAAGUAAUUUGGAACGGAGGGAGUAGAUG